RNAcentral lists this ribosomal RNA (429 nucleotides) under uncultured bacterium. RNAcentral describes it as "bacterial SSU rRNA". It matches the Rfam family "Bacterial small subunit ribosomal RNA", at positions 355 to 776 of the family's 1533-position model. The record is from RNAcentral.
UUAGGAAUAUUCGUCAAUGGAGGGAACUCUGAACGAGCAAUGCCGCGUGAAGGAUGACGGUCCUUUGGAUUGUAAACUUCUGUUGUUAGGAACGAAAAACUUAAGUAGGAAAUGACUUAAGCUUGACGGUACCUUUCAAGAAAGCUCCGGCUAACUACGUGCCAGCAGCCGCGGUAAUACGUAGGGAGCGAGCGUUAUCCGGAUUUAUUGGGUGUAAAGCGUGUGUAGGCGGUUACUUAAGUCUGUGGUCUAAGCCUGGAGCUCAACUCCAGUUCGCCAUGGAAACUGAGUUACUUGAGUAUGGUAGAGGCAAGUGGAAUUUCUAGUGUAGCGGUGGAAUGCGUAGAUAUUAGAAGGAACACCAGUGGCGAAGGCGGCUUGCUGGGCCAUUACUGACGCUGAGACACGAAAGCGUGGGGAGCAAAUAGG